GAUGAACGCUGGCGGCGUGCCUAAUACAUGCAAGUCGAGCGAACAGACGAGGAGCUUGCUCCUCUGACGUUAGCGGCGGACGGGUGAGUAACACGUGGAUAACCUACCUAUAAGACUGGGAUAACUUCGGGAAACCGGAGCUAAUACCGGAUAAUAUAUUGAACCGCAUGGUUUAAUAGUGAAAGACGGUCUUGCUGUCACUUAUAGAUGGAUCCGCGCCGCAUUAGCUAGUUGGUAAGGUAACGGCUUACCAAGGCAACGAUGCGUAGCCGACCUGAGAGGGUGAUCGGCCACACUGGAACUGAGACACGGUCCAGACUCCUACGGGAGGCAGCAGUAGGGAAUCUUCCGCAAUGGGCGAAAGCCUGACGGAGCAACGCCGCGUGAGUGAAGAAGGUCUUCGGAUCGUAAAACUCUGUUAUUAGGGAAGAACAAAUGUGUAAGUAACUAUGCACGUCUUGACGGUACCUAAUCAGAAAGCCACGGCUAACUACGUG
This 497-nucleotide ribosomal RNA is filed under the name uncultured bacterium. Its description in RNAcentral is "partial 16S ribosomal RNA". It matches the Rfam family "Bacterial small subunit ribosomal RNA", at positions 28 to 507 of the family's 1533-position model. The record is from RNAcentral.